CAGUAGACAUUAUCAGAUGCAUUGCUCGGAAUUGCUCGUAUCAUGUAUGUCGGAUCUAUGUAUUUAAGAGUUAUAGGCAUCAUCGGUUUGCCUGCAAAGUAAUUCUUAAUCUUUUGAGAUAACCAGUAGCCGACAUCAAGUAGCUGCUUAUUUCCGGAAGCAUCUGCAUCAUCCCUAGACCGCAUGCUUUCAGCAAUAAGCUCUUGCCCUGCACCCUCUGCAGCAACUAUAACCAUAUGACCGUUCUCUUUAAGUCGUUUUUCUAUAUAUUCGAAAAGCCCCCCUUUCCCUUCAAGAUAAAAGGGUGAUUCUGGAAUCAAG
This 321-nucleotide unclassified non-coding RNA is filed under the name Hevea brasiliensis (rubber tree). The record is from RNAcentral. Lineage: Eukaryota; Viridiplantae; Streptophyta; Magnoliopsida; Malpighiales; Euphorbiaceae.